Molecule: ribosomal RNA, 253 nt
Filed under: uncultured bacterium
Lineage: Bacteria
Description: partial 16S ribosomal RNA
Rfam family: Bacterial small subunit ribosomal RNA
Source: RNAcentral
GACAGAGGGUGCAAGCGUUGUUCGGAAUUACUGGGCGUAAAGGGCUCGUAGGCGGCCAACUAAGUCAGACGUGAAAUCCCUAGGCUCAACCUAGGAACUGCGUCUGAUACUGGAUGGCUUGAAUCCGGGAGAGGGAUGCAGAAUUCCAGGUGUAGCGGUGAAAUGCGUAGAUAUCUGGAGGAAUACCGGUGGCGAAGGCGGCAUCCUGGACCGGCAUUGACGCUGAGGAGCGAAAGCUAGGGGAGCAAACGGG